AGGCCUUCGGGGUGAUGAAAACAAUUUUGUUAUGGUGGCAACACAUGUAUAUCAUCAGCAUAAAGGCCAUGCUCUGAGCAUGCACUAAAGUUAGCAGUUGUGGUACUUCCGUUAUGUAGGAAGAAAAGCAUCGUUCUAUUUUUCACAAUGAGCGUUAUUCAAAAAGUAAAUAAUGUUUGAGUUUGUAAGAAAAACACAAUCUGAGCAUUCCGAGACUCUCAACAUUGCUGAACAUUAGAACAUAUAAAAUGAAGCGAUACAUAGCACUAGUGUGCGCCUGACGUAACAAGCUGACACGUACCCGGAAGGAGAGAACGGCGACCAACAAAGAAUCUUGAAUCUUGAAUCAUGAACAGUAAAACAGAAAAAGUUAAAAAUUCAUCGGCUGAAAUGACUACACCGGUGCAAGUAUUUGGUGAAGCACACAUUUCUAUCGAGUGCGUAGACAAUGCUGAUGGAUUUCCUGGUGUCAUUGUCGAUGACGAUGCAACAUUCAUUUCUUUUCAAGAAAAUGCCACCGAGCAGACCGCUUCCGAUGACGGACAAGGCCCUUACAGUUCGGUGCGACCUUUCCAAUUUGCCCGUUAUGAGUACGAGGACGCUGCCAAGGACAGAGAUCAUCCGGAGACUGUCGGGAAUCCACUACCCAGUCCUGAGGAGGAGGAGGAGGAGGAGGAGGAGGAGGAGGAGGAUGACUGCAGCCGUCUACAGCCAUCAGACAUCAACAUACCCGACAUGGCACUGAUCAUCUUGUGCAUUGUUCUCUUGUUCAUUGCUCUUUAUAUUUUAGCUGUUAUCCUUUAUCCUACAUUUUAGAUGACUUUUUCUCAUCACAUGAUGCAUUAUUGGAAGAUUACAGUCAGUGAAGCUUAAGUUAAAACUCUACCCUGAACUACACUAAAAGUUGACCUUUCCUGAUGAGGCUACCUUUUUGUCCAUCCAUCCAUUUUCUCCCGCUACAUUUUUGUCUAAAUAAGCAAUCUGAAAGAACCUAUUUAAUACCUAUAUAAUAACAUUUGCUUGCCUUUAUUUCACGGGGGGUGAACCGCUCUAACGCCACAUGGUAAGAUAUGUGCAGCCACAAAUGAUCUAUUGGACCUAUUUACAUUUCCUCUGGAUUAAUUAUGACCAGAUUUGACUGACCUGUAAGUGCCUGUGCAAAACUACAUUCAUUAAAGUGACAGCUGAUCAGCCUUCAUGCCUGAGCACUUAAUCAAUGUUUCAGAAAGAUAACAGUCAGACUACAGUACGUGCAACUUAUAUGCAACAAUUCAGAGCAGUGAACAGCAAAACAGCUGCUUGGUUAGGCCACAGUUGAACAUGGUUUGCAGUUCAAGUCAGGGGAUGAAUUGAUGAGAUUAUAUUGAUACCAAUGCUACUGUUGAUUCUGUUUCGCUUUUAUUUAUUCCUGAUCAAUCAUCUGUAUGCAAGAAAAAGUACAAAAUAACUUUUCAGCUUCAAAGCGACGUUUUCUUAUCAUCCCUGCCUGUGCGGGUUCAGCUCGCUGAGAGCUGACGAGCGAUUCAAGAUGGCUGUAGCAACAGUCUGUCAUCAUCUAAAAUGGAUAAAAUGAGUUAGUAUCACAUAGGAUAUUCACCCUCAGUAACAGACACGAUGUUCAGUGUGUGUGGAGUGUUAGAUACAUGGCAUUCCUGGAUUUUAAGCCCACGUUGUGUAGAAAGACAGUUCCAGCAUCGGUGAAAGGUAUUGAUGAGCAUGUGAUUCUGAUAGAUCGGACAAUCUGGAACUGGUUCUGGAUCCCCAUCCCUGAUAUCUGUAUCACAGCAACUGAAAUUAACACUUCCGCAAUAGUCUGAGUCAAUCCUCCAGCUCAUGUCUUGGCAGUCUUACAGUUUUUAGAUUCAGUUUGAACCAAAUCAAGGAAAAGUUGAGUUACAUUAGCUUUCACUAGCUUUGAAAAGUUUAAGUGAACACACAAAGCUUUUGCCUCCAGUUCUCCAGCUCAAGGUCAGGGUGGACAAAGAACGGACUUCAAUGCAGGAGCCUGCAACCGAAAUCCUGUAUCCUGUAAUCAAGUCGUAGCAAAAGUUUUGUGCAAGGUCAGGAUUUUCUUAGAGAACUGAAACAGACUGAAUUGCUGAUCGGUGGGAUUCUAGUAGGAAAAUCAAAAGAAUUACGCAAGUACAUGUCACAAUGUCCAUCACAUUCAGAUAUAAGGCCACUGCUCAGGGGGUGAACACGCUCACACGUUGUGUAUCAGGCUGUGGAAUUCAGGCCACCAAGGAUAGACUUCAGUUUUCUGUAAUGUCUGUGGACCACAGCAGAGCAACAAGAAAAGGAGGGAAAGUGUGAUCACCGUUCUGUACAUGGAUCUCAGGAAAAGAGAUUUCCGUCGAGUGUGUGGACAAUGCUCUGGGAAUUCCUGGCGUUAUUGUCUAUGACGACGUGACGUUCCCCAUCUCCUCUCAGCAAGAUGAGGAAAUCGCCAUGGACUGCGAUCCUCCGCUGACUGAGGGCGUUUCAAAUGACAGCAGUAAAGCACCGCCUGGAUCCUCCACCGAUGAUGAUGAAGUCUCCCAGGAAGUAGACUUGUAGUUCGAGGAAAACGACAGUCCUGAAGGGGAGGACGAUGCAGAUUUACUGAAGACACCUCCAUUUUCCGGACACUUUGUUUUAGAAUUACAAUGUAGGAACUUAUUACAUUGCUGUGGACCACCACAUAGACAGAGGAGGUAAUGCCAGACUGAAGAUCGGAGUGGAACAAGCACAUGUUGUUCGGAUAUCUGAGGCAGAUGUGAUUAUAAAACAUAUAAAAAUGUGAACGUUGGUGUAGUGUACAGUGGGCUGUGUCCUGCUCAGUUUCUAUGAGAUUUAUUUUUGAUAAGAUUUGUUGAAGUGUCUUCAUUUUGUUUGUUUUGUCCUUUAAUCACUUUCCCUGUACUGUAAGAAAUGAGCUGCUGUUAAAGAGAAGACUUCUCUGAAUGCUGUAGCAGUGAUUAAAGUGGAACA
Chelmon rostratus (copperband butterflyfish) is the source of this 2970-nucleotide long non-coding RNA. RefSeq lists it as uncharacterized. The transcript has 9 exons. Lineage: Eukaryota; Metazoa; Chordata; Actinopteri; Chaetodontiformes; Chaetodontidae. The record is from RefSeq and is a predicted model, not a curated record.